Molecule: ribosomal RNA, 273 nt
Filed under: uncultured prokaryote
Description: partial 16S ribosomal RNA
Rfam family: Bacterial small subunit ribosomal RNA
Source: RNAcentral
UACGUAGGUGGCGAGCGUUGUCCGGAAUUACUGGGCGUAAAGGGCGCGCAGGCGGCGCGUUAAGUCCGGGGUGAAAUCCAUCGGCUCAACCGGUGGGGGACCUUGGAUACUGGCGCACUGGAGUGCGGGAGAGGGAAGCGGAAUUCCACGUGUAACGGUGAAAUGUAUAGAUAUGUGGAGGAACACCGGUGGCGAAGGCGGCUUCCUGGACCGUAACUGACGCUGAGGCGCGAAAGCUGGGGGAGCGAACAGGAUUAGAAACCCUAGUAGUCC